This 324-nucleotide unclassified non-coding RNA is filed under the name plant metagenome. RNAcentral's name for it is "partial contains 5.8S ribosomal RNA, internal transcribed spacer 2, and large subunit ribosomal RNA". The stretch from base 1 to 105 matches the Rfam family "5.8S ribosomal RNA", at positions 50 to 154 of the family's 154-position model. The record is from RNAcentral.
GAAAUGCGAUAACUAAUGUGAAUUGCAGAAUUCAGUGAAUCAUCGAGUCUUUGAACGCACAUUGCGCCCCCUGGUAUUCCGGGGGGCAUGCCUGUCCGAGCGUCAUUGCUGCCCUCAAGCCCGGCUUGUGUGUUGGGCCCUCGUCCCCCGGCUCCCGGGGGACGGGCCCGAAAGGCAGCGGCGGCACCGCGUCCGGUCCUCGAGCGUAUGGGGCUUCGUCUUCCGCUCCGUAGGCCCGGUCGGCGCCCGCCGACGCAUUUAUUUGCAACUUGUUUUUUUCCAGGUUGACCUCGGAUCAGGUAGGGAUACCCGCUGAACUUAAGC